GGUGCCAUAGCCAAGUGGUAAGGCAUAGGUCUGCAAAAUCUACAUUCCCCGGUUCAAAUCCGGGUGGCACCUCCA
Molecule: transfer RNA, 75 nt
Filed under: Clostridia bacterium
Lineage: Bacteria; Bacillati; Bacillota; Clostridia
Description: tRNA-Cys
Rfam family: tRNA
About the family: Transfer RNA (tRNA) molecules are approximately 80 nucleotides in length.
Source: RNAcentral